GGCCUGGCCCGUAAGCUGGCCCCCUUUAAAAGCCAUUCCUUAUUAAUAAGGAUUUGUUACGCGUGAUAUGCCCACGACUUACUACUGGGAAUCGUGGGCGCUUUAUUUCUUCUCAUAGAAAUACAAAAACAUAUCACCCACUUCCUACAAUCCGGUCUGAACCUUUGGGAUGCGGCUAUAUGAUCAACAACCAUAGCUGCACGGAGUACGGUAGAAUUGCCCGGUACGGUCAUUCGGGAAGUCCCCCCGAGGACGACUCCCAUACAAUUCUUGCGAGAGCUGGAGAAGCUUCUACGGGUAAAGCACCGUAUCCAUAUAAUUGCCUGCCACCUACGCUCCGCCAUCCAUUCCAAGUUUAGGGACCUAGGUUAUAGUAUCCCUAUCAAAGAGCCGACGAAGGGGAUGAGCGGAAGAGGUCGUCUACUGGACGCGGUUCAACUAGCGGAGACUCUUGGAAAAGAUGGACUAAAAAGUCCCCAAGUUAACGUAUUAUGGGGGACCGUCAAGCACAUCCGGCAAAGAUCGAGGGCGAUCUCGUUGUUGCAUAGCUCAGGUCAGAGCAAGGUGCCAUCAGGCGUUCAACAGGCAGUCUCACGAUCGGGCAUGAGUGUCCUGAAGAAGAAAUUGUAUACUCCCUUUGGUCGGAAGGCGGCGUGGGAAGGAAGGGGACACUGGGCAGGAUCUUUCAGCAGCGAAUUCCCCAUACAUAUAGAGGCGCAUUUCAAAACGAUACUCCGAAGGUUUCGGGAUCGAGGUCUCAUUAGCUGAAGAAGACCCAGGCCAGUCCACGUGGCCUCUUUGACCAACGUCAGUGAUAGAGACAUAGUAAAUUGGUCCCCGGGCAUCGCGAUAAGUCCUCUAUCCUACUACAGGUGCUGCGACAACCUUUACCAAGUCCGAACGAUUGUCAACUACCAGAUCCAUUGGUCCGCUAUAUUCACCCUAGUCCACAAGCACAAAUCUUUGGAGCGGAAUAUAAUCCUAAAGUACCCCAAAGACUCAAAUAUAGUCAAUCAAGAAGGUGGUAAGACCCUUGCUGAGUUCGCAAACAGCAUAGAGCUUGGGAAGCUCGGACUCGUUCAAGAUCCGAACAACGACGGAGCACUCAACUACAUGUUUAAUAAGUAG
This 1128-nucleotide ribosomal RNA is filed under the name Triticum aestivum (bread wheat). Its description in RNAcentral is "partial small subunit ribosomal RNA". The record is from RNAcentral. Lineage: Eukaryota; Viridiplantae; Streptophyta; Magnoliopsida; Poales; Poaceae.